This 574-nucleotide long non-coding RNA is filed under the name Capsicum annuum. RNAcentral describes it as "long non-coding RNA (CANN_LNC007663)". The record is from RNAcentral. Lineage: Eukaryota; Viridiplantae; Streptophyta; Magnoliopsida; Solanales; Solanaceae.
GAGAGGAGAGAAAAAUAUGCAUGAUAUAAAUCAAAAGGUUAGAAGUCCAACUGAAUGCUGAGUGAGGCAUUAGGUGUGUUUAUAUAGAGGGAGAAAAAUGAUGAGAUGGAUCGGUUUAAUUACUCAUGAAAGAUGCCUUGUUUCAAUAAUUAAUUUAACCAAUGCAUCUCAUCAUUUUAUCCCACUAUGGGUACACACCCUAUGCCCUACUCACUAUAUGCAAACUUCCAACCUUUUGAUUUAUACAGAUUUUACCCCUCUCACUAUAUAAACACACCCUAUUCCUUACUCAAUACACACUUAAACUUCCAACCUUUUGAUAUAAAGUCUAUUGUCUGUAUGUGUACAUAUUUAUGUAGACACCAUAGAGAGCCAAAAGUUCAAACAUUUCCUGUGUUUCAUGUUAGGGCACUAAUUACGAGGUCACUGAGAUUCUCAAGGUUAAUGGAGAUGGCUGUAGAGACUUAAUUUACUAUAUAACCCUUACCGUCAAGAACGACGUAGAGGAAUAUUUUCAAGUUAAGGUGGUGGAACAUCUAUAUAAAUCUUUGAAGUUCCCAGUGUCAGGCCAAGG